This 472-nucleotide ribosomal RNA is filed under the name uncultured bacterium. RNAcentral's name for it is "bacterial SSU rRNA". It matches the Rfam family "Bacterial small subunit ribosomal RNA", at positions 8 to 526 of the family's 1533-position model. The record is from RNAcentral.
AGAGUUUGAUCCUGGCUCAGAACGAACGCUGGCGGCAUGCCUAACACAUGCAAGUCGAACGAGACCUUCGGGUCUAGUGGCGCACGGGUGCGUAACGCGUGGGAAUCUGCCCUUGGGUUCGGAAUAACAUCGGGAAACUGAUGCUAAUACCGGAUGAUGACGUAAGUCCAAAGAUUUAUCGCCCAGGGAUGAGCCCGCGUAGGAUUAGCUAGUUGGUGAGGUAAAGGCUCACCAAGGCGACGAUCCUUAGCUGGUCUGAGAGGAUGAUCAGCCACACUGGGACUGAGACACGGCCCAGACUCCUACGGGAGGCAGCAGUAGGGAAUAUUGGACAAUGGGCGAAAGCCUGAUCCAGCAAUGCCGCGUGAGUGAUGAAGGCCUUAGGGUUGUAAAGCUCUUUUACCCGGGAUGAUAAUGACAGUACCGGGAGAAUAAGCCCCGGCUAACUCCGUGCCAGCAGCCGCGGUAAUAC